This is a non-coding RNA of Gossypium raimondii (Peruvian cotton), 126 nucleotides long. NCBI's taxonomy places the organism in Eukaryota, Viridiplantae, Streptophyta, Magnoliopsida, Malvales, Malvaceae. The record is from Rfam.
UGUUAAAAAUUUCAUCUAUUUUUACUGUUAAAAACUGACGUGAUUAACGAAAUAACUAGACAAUAUACCUCAUGCCAACAUACAUGAGCAAAUUUUUAACAGUAAAAAUGAAUGAAGUUUUUAACC